UACGAAGGUCCCAAGCGUUGUUCGGAAUCACUGGGCGUAAAGGGUGCGUAGGCGGUAUGGUAAGUCAGAUGUGAAAUCCCGGGGCUCAACCCCGGAACUGCAUCCGAUACUGCCGUACUUGAGGACUGGAGAGGAGACUGGAAUUCUCGGUGUAGCAGUGAAAUGCGUAGAGAUCGAGAGGAACACUCGUGGCGAAGGCGAGUCUCUGGACAGUUCCUGACGCUGAGGCACGAAGGCCAGGGUAGCGAAAGGG
This 253-nucleotide ribosomal RNA is filed under the name uncultured bacterium. RNAcentral's name for it is "partial 16S ribosomal RNA". It matches the Rfam family "Bacterial small subunit ribosomal RNA", at positions 524 to 776 of the family's 1533-position model. The record is from RNAcentral.